ACUACUGGGUUGACAUUUUUUUCUUCCCGAGUUCUUUCAUUCGUAAAGAUUUGACAGGGUCAGGAGAAUGACCUUAAAGCCCUUGGCCCCCCAAAAAGCUUUCAUUAAAAUCUGGCUAUUUGGAGGGCCGUCUAAACUCGACAGAUCUCCAGAGAACUUCACUCUGGCCUGCCUUAAGCUUACCUGUAAGCCUUUGAGCUGUAACUUAGGCCCACCUUUCUCUAAUAUGCUCAGGAAUUGAAGAAAUCGUGCCCCACAUUCACCAUCAUGCGGCUCCUACCUCCUUGCCACUCGGGGCCAAAACCCCUGCGAGGGGUCAGAUUCUCAUCCCAAGGUCUGGGAAGUGGUGUUCCCAAGCCAGCAGCUUCUGAGCCUUCAUCUGCAUCUGGUUUGCAUAAACCGUCCUCCCCUCCCACUCUGGACCACGCGCACGGGGGCUCUCCCCAUCACAGCACCCACCCUGGCUCACCCCCGCUUGCAGCGCCCCCUGCCGGCGACAGGGCCCGGCGCUCUGCGGUGAUCCCUAGCUGCAGCCUCCCGUGAGGCCGAGGACCGUGGCGGAGGGGUGGAGGCGGUCGCCCUGCACGGGAGCCCGCGGGUCUGACCGACACCGUGCGCGAACAAUAUGCCACCAUUUAAGUCUGAACGCGAGCCAGCCGCCGAUUGUGAUGUUAAUUCGGCGAUGAUUUAGGGGGGCGGGACGGAGCGGGGCCGGCCGCCUCUCUGUCAAAGUGCUGUCCGGGGACCUUAAUAUUAGUAAUUGAAGCUGAUGAGGACUCCGUCUCUGUUUCUACUGAUAAAAAAUAAAAAAUAAAAAGGCAGGGAGGGAAAAGGAGCAACUAAAUUAUAGGGCCGGGAGAAAAACAUGAUUAAUCAAAGGUUUGAACUGUCGCCGUGCUCGAGGCCCAGUAAAUCUCGCCGGCCGGGGCGUGUGGAGGCCGGAGGAUAAAUCUGAGCCCCGUGGAGUUUGCCGCCCCUUACUGUUUGCCACUCGCGUCGCACGUCAAUUAAUUCGAUAAUUGGAUUUGAAGAGAUGUCAGAAGAUUAUCCAGGGGGAGCGGGAAGAGCGGUUGCCAGGGUCUGCGAUGGGCAGCGGAGGCGAGCGAGCACCGAGGCCGGUAGAGGGACGGGAGAGCCAGGCAGGCCUGUCCGGAUCCUUCACGCAAUUAGCCUGUGCUCAGCUCUGCAGCAGCCCCCGAAAAGGCGGCUGCCUGAGCUGGGGCCUCAGGAAAAUGCCUUCACAGACACAUACACACCAGGCCCCUAGCUUCAGUCUGACAAGAAAAUGCCACUGAAAUUCAGUCCUUCGGCAACUUCAGGUGGAUCCCCCAAAAGGCUGCACAGGGGAGUAAACUUGUUUCUCUACGAGGGAGCACGGCACUGUCAGGGAGACCUGAGCUCCAGAGAUCAUCUUCUACCAGAGCCUCACCGACUGCUGCUGACUUCUUCCCCUUGAUCCUUUGACCUUCAAUGGAUGUUGCAGCCUCUGUGAUCCUGACCCGAAGAAGAUGUAACUAAGUUACAGCACAUCGCUACAUCCCUGUGAUCCCUUUUCUUCUGUUAGGGUCUUUGGGCUGCCAGGGAUACUCAAUGGUAGCACAUUUGAAUCAUACUCUGUAUUGAUCUCAGUAGGAAGAUCCUUAGGGCCAUUUGUGUGUGGGAGUGGGGGAUGCUGUUUAUUUUUAUUACUAUUUGGAGCACUUCCGGCAAGUGCUCUACCACUAAGAUGAACCUCCAGCCCGACAUCCUUAUUAUUUUCUUUGUUUGUUUGCUUUUAUUUUUCAAGACAAGGUUUCUCUGGGUAGCCCUGGCUGUCCUAGAACUCUAUCUGUAGGCCACGUUGGCCUUGAACACACAGGGUUUGCCUGCCUCUGCCUCCCAAGUGCUGGGAUGAAGGGUGUGUGCUGCCGCCCCGGCAAGAUCCUUAUUCUUGGGACUCCCCAGUCAGAUUUAUAAAGCAGCACAUAGUGAUUCAGGGAAAGCUGGGAAAACAGGAACAAAAAAUAGGGAUAUCUAGCUGAGGUUUCGAUUUCAUGUAGAAGGAAGAAAAACUGAAGAAAAGAUUAGACAAAUACAGAGGCAUUGAAGACUGAAAUACUGGAAGUUCAGCAGAGGCACACGGGAGAUUGUGGAGUCCGUGGGAGUGAUUAUUAGAGUUUGGAGACAGGAGGACCAGGUUUGGAGAAUCAGGAAACGGCACCACUCAGUGGUCCAGGUCAGAAACUGCACAGCAUCUCCACCCCUCCAGCACGAUAAGUCCCUAAGGUCUAUCUAUCAUUCCUCCCUUCUAAGCCUGAGCUCUGCCUACACCUCUUCAUCUGGCUAUGACCUGAGAGCUCAGGCCACCAUCAUCUCCUUCCUGGAUAUGGUAGCAGCCUCUUAUUUCUCUUAUACUUGUCUUCUGGUCUUUCUAAAAUGUCAGUCUGAGGAGUUGUGUUAUAUAUAGCACUUGUCCAGGGUGCUCAGGAUUCUGGUCUUGAUCUCCAAGUUUCAGGCUAGUCUGGAAUAUGCAGUACAGUAAGAUGCAAUCUUUGAAAAAGAAAGAAAAGAAAAAGACAUUCCAGUCUCUGUAACCUCCUACAAAAACACAAGCAUUUAUUUGUUUGUUUGUUUAUAGGCAAGGUCUCAUGAACCCCAUCCAGGUUAUUCUGAACUUGUGAGCCUCCUGCCUCCUUCUCUCAAAUGCUGCAAUCAGAGACAUGUGCUACCAUACCCACUUAUGUGGUGAUUAAACCCAGGGGUUCACACUCUCUAGGGAAGACUCUACCAACUGAACUACUGAACUAUGAAUAUCCUUGGCCAAGUUUAUAUAGAUUAUAAACUAUAUAAGAAUAAAACUCCCCAGGCAGUAGUAGUGCUCGACUUUAGUCCCAGCACU
This is a long non-coding RNA of Mesocricetus auratus (golden hamster), 2878 nucleotides long. RefSeq lists it as uncharacterized. The transcript is spliced from 3 exons. Lineage: Eukaryota; Metazoa; Chordata; Mammalia; Rodentia; Cricetidae. The record is from RefSeq and is a predicted model, not a curated record.